Molecule: small nuclear RNA, 187 nt
Organism: Bombyx mandarina (wild silkworm)
Lineage: Eukaryota; Metazoa; Arthropoda; Insecta; Lepidoptera; Bombycidae
Source: RefSeq, a predicted model, not a curated record
AACUUUGCUCAGAGGCAAUAUCGUAACCAAUGAGGUUAAUUCGAGGUGCGAUUAUUGCUAGUUGAAAACUUUGGUCAUAAAAGGGUUUUUUUCUCAAAGCUACUGCUAGUCAUGUCAUAGACAGAAUGAAUUUAAUACCAAUUUGUGAAGGCACUGUUUCAUUCACGAGAAAUCGUACAAACAUGUG